Molecule: ribosomal RNA, 2899 nt
Filed under: Klebsiella pneumoniae
Lineage: Bacteria; Pseudomonadati; Pseudomonadota; Gammaproteobacteria; Enterobacterales; Enterobacteriaceae
Description: 23S ribosomal RNA
Rfam family: Bacterial large subunit ribosomal RNA
Source: RNAcentral
UUAAGCGACUAAGCGUACACGGUGGAUGCCCUGGCAGUCAGAGGCGAUGAAGGACGUGCUAAUCUGCGAAAAGCGUCGGUAAGGUGAUAUGAACCGUUAUAACCGGCGAUGUCCGAAUGGGGAAACCCAGUGCAAUUCGUUGCACUAUCGUUAACUGAAUACAUAGGUUAACGAGGCGAACCGGGGGAACUGAAACAUCUAAGUACCCCGAGGAAAAGAAAUCAACCGAGAUUCCCCCAGUAGCGGCGAGCGAACGGGGAGCAGCCCAGAGUCUGAAUCAGCUUGUGUGUUAGUGGAACGGUCUGGAAAGUCCGACGGUACAGGGUGAUAGUCCCGUACACCAAAAUGCACAGGCUGUGAACUCGAAGAGUAGGGCGGGACACGUGGUAUCCUGUCUGAAUAUGGGGGGACCAUCCUCCAAGGCUAAAUACUCCUGACUGACCGAUAGUGAACCAGUACCGUGAGGGAAAGGCGAAAAGAACCCCGGCGAGGGGAGUGAAAAAGAACCUGAAACCGUGUACGUACAAGCAGUGGGAGCACCUUCGGGUGUGACUGCGUACCUUUUGUAUAAUGGGUCAGCGACUUAUAUUCUGUAGCAAGGUUAACCGUAUAGGGGAGCCGCAGGGAAACCGAGUCUUAACUGGGCGUUAAGUUGCAGGGUAUAGACCCGAAACCCGGUGAUCUAGCCAUGGGCAGGUUGAAGGUUGGGUAACACUAACUGGAGGACCGAACCGACUAAUGUUGAAAAAUUAGCGGAUGACUUGUGGCUGGGGGUGAAAGGCCAAUCAAACCGGGAGAUAGCUGGUUCUCCCCGAAAGCUAUUUAGGUAGCGCCUCGUGAAUUCAUCUUCGGGGGUAGAGCACUGUUUCGGCUAGGGGGUCAUCCCGACUUACCAACCCGAUGCAAACUACGAAUACCGAAGAAUGUUAUCACGGGAGACACACGGCGGGUGCUAACGUCCGUCGUGAAGAGGGAAACAACCCAGACCGCCAGCUAAGGUCCCAAAGUCAUGGUUAAGUGGGAAACGAUGUGGGAAGGCACAGACAGCCAGGAUGUUGGCUUAGAAGCAGCCAUCAUUUAAAGAAAGCGUAAUAGCUCACUGGUCGAGUCGGCCUGCGCGGAAGAUGUAACGGGGCUAAACCAUGCACCGAAGCUGCGGCAGCGACACUAUGUGUUGUUGGGUAGGGGAGCGUUCUGUAAGCCUGCGAAGGUGACCUGUGAGGGUUGCUGGAGGUAUCAGAAGUGCGAAUGCUGACAUAAGUAACGAUAAAGCGGGUGAAAAGCCCGCUCGCCGGAAGACCAAGGGUUCCUGUCCAACGUUAAUCGGGGCAGGGUGAGUCGACCCCUAAGGCGAGGCCGAAAGGCGUAGUCGAUGGGAAACAGGUUAAUAUUCCUGUACUUGGUGUUACUGCGAAGGGGGGACGGAGAAGGCUAUGUUAGCCGGGCGACGGUUGUCCCGGUUUAAGCAUGUAGGCUGGUUAUCCAGGCAAAUCCGGAUAAUCAAGGCUGAGGUGUGAUGACGAGGCACUACGGUGCUGAAGUAACAAAUGCCCUGCUUCCAGGAAAAGCCUCUAAGCAUCAGGUAACAUCAAAUCGUACCCCAAACCGACACAGGUGGUCAGGUAGAGAAUACCAAGGCGCUUGAGAGAACUCGGGUGAAGGAACUAGGCAAAAUGGUGCCGUAACUUCGGGAGAAGGCACGCUGGUGUGUAGGUGAAGUCCCUGCGGAUGGAGCUGAGACCAGUCGAAGAUACCAGCUGGCUGCAACUGUUUAUUAAAAACACAGCACUGUGCAAACACGAAAGUGGACGUAUACGGUGUGACGCCUGCCCGGUGCCGGAAGGUUAAUUGAUGGGGUUAUCCGUAAGGAGAAGCUCUUGAUCGAAGCCCCGGUAAACGGCGGCCGUAACUAUAACGGUCCUAAGGUAGCGAAAUUCCUUGUCGGGUAAGUUCCGACCUGCACGAAUGGCGUAAUGAUGGCCAGGCUGUCUCCACCCGAGACUCAGUGAAAUUGAACUCGCUGUGAAGAUGCAGUGUACCCGCGGCAAGACGGAAAGACCCCGUGAACCUUUACUAUAGCUUGACACUGAACAUUGAGCCUUGAUGUGUAGGAUAGGUGGGAGGCUUUGAAGCGUGGACGCCAGUCUGCGUGGAGCCAACCUUGAAAUACCACCCUUUAAUGUUUGAUGUUCUAACGUUGGCCCCUGACCGGGGUUGCGGACAGUGUCUGGUGGGUAGUUUGACUGGGGCGGUCUCCUCCCAAAGCGUAACGGAGGAGCACGAAGGUUAGCUAAUCCUGGUCGGACAUCAGGAGGUUAGUGCAAUGGCAUAAGCUAGCUUGACUGCGAGCGUGACGGCGCGAGCAGGUGCGAAAGCAGGUCAUAGUGAUCCGGUGGUUCUGAAUGGAAGGGCCAUCGCUCAACGGAUAAAAGGUACUCCGGGGAUAACAGGCUGAUACCGCCCAAGAGUUCAUAUCGACGGCGGUGUUUGGCACCUCGAUGUCGGCUCAUCACAUCCUGGGGCUGAAGUAGGUCCCAAGGGUAUGGCUGUUCGCCAUUUAAAGUGGUACGCGAGCUGGGUUUAGAACGUCGUGAGACAGUUCGGUCCCUAUCUGCCGUGGGCGCUGGAGAAUUGAGGGGGGCUGCUCCUAGUACGAGAGGACCGGAGUGGACGCAUCACUGGUGUUCGGGUUGUCAUGCCAAUGGCACUGCCCGGUAGCUAAAUGCGGAAGAGAUAAGUGCUGAAAGCAUCUAAGCACGAAACUUGCCCCGAGAUGAGUUCUCCCUGAGACUUUAAGUCUCCUGAAGGAACGUUGAAGACGACGACGUUGAUAGGCCGGGUGUGUAAGCGCAGCGAUGCGUUGAGCUAACCGGUACUAAUGAACCGUGAGGCUUAACCU